RNAcentral lists this ribosomal RNA (878 nucleotides) under Acinetobacter baumannii. Its description in RNAcentral is "bacterial SSU rRNA". It matches the Rfam family "Bacterial small subunit ribosomal RNA", at positions 22 to 886 of the family's 1533-position model. Lineage: Bacteria; Pseudomonadati; Pseudomonadota; Gammaproteobacteria; Moraxellales; Moraxellaceae. The record is from RNAcentral.
GCUCAGAUUGAACGCUGGCGGCAGGCUUAACACAUGCAAGUCGAGCGGGGGAAGGUAGCUUGCUACCGGACCUAGCGGCGGACGGGUGAGUAAUGCUUAGGAAUCUGCCUAUUAGUGGGGGACAACAUCUCGAAAGGGAUGCUAAUACCGCAUACGUCCUACGGGAGAAAGCAGGGGAUCUUCGGACCUUGCGCUAAUAGAUGAGCCUAAGUCGGAUUAGCUAGUUGGUGGGGUAAAGGCCUACCAAGGCGACGAUCUGUAGCGGGUCUGAGAGGAUGAUCCGCCACACUGGGACUGAGACACGGCCCAGACUCCUACGGGAGGCAGCAGUGGGGAAUAUUGGACAAUGGGGGGAACCCUGAUCCAGCCAUGCCGCGUGUGUGAAGAAGGCCUUAUGGUUGUAAAGCACUUUAAGCGAGGAGGAGGCUACUUUAGUUAAUACCUAGAGAUAGUGGACGUUACUCGCAGAAUAAGCACCGGCUAACUCUGUGCCAGCAGCCGCGGUAAUACAGAGGGUGCGAGCGUUAAUCGGAUUUACUGGGCGUAAAGCGUGCGUAGGCGGCUUAUUAAGUCGGAUGUGAAAUCCCCGAGCUUAACUUGGGAAUUGCAUUCGAUACUGGUGAGCUAGAGUAUGGGAGAGGAUGGUAGAAUUCCAGGUGUAGCGGUGAAAUGCGUAGAGAUCUGGAGGAAUACCGAUGGCGAAGGCAGCCAUCUGGCCUAAUACUGACGCUGAGGUACGAAAGCAUGGGGAGCAAACAGGAUUAGAUACCCUGGUAGUCCAAUGCCGUAAACGAAUGUCUACUAGCCGUUGGGGCCUUUGAGGCUUUAAGUGGCGCUAAGCUAACGCGAAUAAAGGAAGACCGCAUGGUAAAUUCGUG